ACAGUGGUUACAGAUAAGAUACUUUGUCUCCCAUUCUGUCCGUAUUUUAUUCUCCUCCCUCUUCUAAUAGAACAUUAACCAAUAAAAAUGAAAUGUCUAAAAAGGUAAAAAAAAGCCAGCGUCCCACCGACUCAUCUGCCGUCCUCACCUCCUGCUCAGUAUUCAGCACAGGCAACAACUCAAUUAACCAGGAGCCCCCAGCCAUCACACCAGCAGGCUGCCUCAUAAUAUUUCCCAUAAUGUUUCAUCCAAUUUGGAGAGUUUGACGUUUACCCCCUGCAGGACUGCAGCGAGAGACAAUGACUGAAGGCUAGGGGCCACUGAGGUGGAGACGGUGUGUGCGAUGGUGAUGAGCACUGGAAAUCGGUGCCCCGGCCUGCAGGUGAACAUGUAUCAUAAAACCACUCCCUUCCUCUAACAACUCGUCCAAAACUUUUCAAGUGCAGGUUCAUAUUUUUUUCCAAAUGAUGCACAUAAACUUAACAGCCCACAAAGAAGCAGAAGGAGUGCGUAUAAGUGUAUGUACUGCAUGUGAAGGGCAGUUUGUAAAGUGCAGAGGAUGUUUAUAGCACAAUGGGUUAAGAUCACCAGCAGCUGGAGGAUCGUCCACUCUGAGGCGAGACUUUUGAGAAGCCAUUUUAAGGCCUCCUGUCAUUGGCGUGACCCUGCCGGUGCCUCUCUGCCUCCACAGCCCUCCUGCUUUAGCGUCAGCUCCCCCAUUGUCCUGGACGGAGGAGGACUCGGCCGCUCCUAAGUGAUGGCGCAAGAGUCACCUCGUUGGAACUGAUGCCCCCGAUCAGCGAUGGGCUGGAAAAGCAUAAAGAAAGAACGGGAAGGGACAGAAGAUCUCCAUCACUACCUCCACGCUGGUCCCUCUCCUGUCUGAGCGAAAGGGCAAGUCCCUGCAGCCGCGUGCCAGCCGAUCCUCAGCCUCGAUCCAGAGGAAUGCUAAUAGUUUGUAACCGGACCCGGAGCCUCUCCAGUGCUACCCAAACAGGGCCAACGGGCCCGAAACAGACACCGCGAAUGUUUCCAUUGCUCAUAUUGAGCUAUCAGUAUCUUUAUAGUUAGAAAUCCUCCAUAUUUUACCAGCCCCUCUCCAGUUGCCACCAUAACUCUUGCUUUGCCGGGUCUCAAGCAACAUAUCCGUCUUAUUUUGGAGCACAUAUCUACAUAGUGUCACAGUCUGAAAGAAGAUACAUGGAGGCGGCUGAAGUGAUGCCACUGGAGGAGGUUAUAGCACGGCUCCAACAUCAAUCAUGAUGUACAGCACUUUCCAUUUUUGACACACAUUUCAGCAACUUUGGGAACUUGCUGCUAUCAUCAGAUGAGUAACCUCUUUAGCACAAGUUAGUGAACUAGAUCAACAUGCAGGGUAGUUUUAAAUACUAAAACAAAAUAAUAUUUAUUGUUGGUCUUUGGCAAAGGUAUUUGUAUAGUUUCUAUCAAGGCUAAUAUUUUAAAUAUGCCUUCUUAUUAAAUAUUAUAUGAAAGCACUUUUGAUCUGCAAAUUUGAAGUAAAUACACGUCGAAUUUAAUGAUAUGAUACUGGAAGUGAAUGCAAGAGAAGAACACAAGUAAAAUAAAAAUGAAUAGAAAUUAAAGUAGAAAAUAGAAACGUAGCUUUUACAGUUUGGGUGAACCAGCCGUCGUCAACCUUGUGUCUUAUAUUUGGUUCGACGCCAUGUUUGUUUGGACACAACCACAAGUGCCACUUUGUGGGGAUUUGUCUUGUUUUUACUCUUCAGUGAACUCAACUUUAAUUAUUUAAACGAUUGACAGCGUCUUUAUGGAUCAUAGAUGCACAUGGAAAACAACGGUAAGAGUCUGACUUUUUGUUGUCUUUAAACAUCGGUUGUUUUUUAACUGUUUCUGUCCUGAAUGCUUAUGCUAACGUUCUGCUUUGCUAAACUCACCUGUUACUCAACAAAUGUACUAUCAACUAUUAAAUUUGAAUCGUCUGGGGAACAGAGAGAGUUGAGCUAAUUUACACAAACCUUCCCCGUAACCUAGUGAGCUAAUGAUUUGAUGUUAAACAAGCUAGUUAACCUGAAUCACACAUGUUUAAGGGGGUCAUUAUAAUCCGUACGGAGAUGUUUGAACAACAUAAUGAUGUUUUAAGUUAAUGAUGUUUCUUAUUGCAUGUUUUCUUGUCUUUUGAGCCACAGUCUGCAUUUUUGCAGUAAAUGUUUUUUUUUUUUUUUUUUUUUUUUU
This is a long non-coding RNA of Betta splendens (Siamese fighting fish), 2214 nucleotides long. RefSeq lists it as uncharacterized. Lineage: Eukaryota; Metazoa; Chordata; Actinopteri; Anabantiformes; Osphronemidae. The record is from RefSeq and is a predicted model, not a curated record. The transcript is spliced from 2 exons.